UCUGCACUAGGCAGUCGCUCGGUCGCAAGGCUGAGAGGAAAGUCCGGACACGCCCGUCGCAAGACGGAGCAAGGUAGCGGGUAACGCCCGCCGGGGUAAUCCCAGGGAUGCGAACAGAGACGUCCGAGCCGAGAGGCGAGGAGGCCCGCAAGGGUCAGCCGAUGUGGAAACAUAUCGGGUGCAACGGCAAAAUUCCUACCCGCGUGCAAGGUCGUGUCACCGAAAGGUGGAGAACCGCUUGAGGUGUUUGGCAACAAACAUCCCAGAUAAAUGACUGCCCUCGACAGAAUCCGGCUUAACGGUGCAGAACAU
Molecule: RNase P RNA, 312 nt
Filed under: Candidatus Kaiserbacteria bacterium RIFCSPHIGHO2_01_FULL_56_24
Lineage: Bacteria; Candidatus Kaiseribacteriota
Description: RNase P RNA component class A
Rfam family: Bacterial RNase P class A
About the family: Ribonuclease P (RNase P) is a ubiquitous endoribonuclease, found in archaea, bacteria and eukarya as well as chloroplasts and mitochondria. Its best characterised activity is the generation of mature 5'-ends of tRNAs by cleaving the 5'-leader elements of precursor-tRNAs. Cellular RNase Ps are ribonucleoproteins.
Source: RNAcentral